This 143-nucleotide ribosomal RNA is filed under the name uncultured bacterium. Its description in RNAcentral is "partial 16S rRNA". It matches the Rfam family "Bacterial small subunit ribosomal RNA", at positions 355 to 511 of the family's 1533-position model. The record is from RNAcentral.
UGGGGAAUUUUCCGCAAUGGGCGAAAGCCUGACGGAGCAAUGCCGCGUGGAGGUGGAAGGCCUACGGGUUCGUCAACUUCUUUUCUCGGAGAAGAAACAAUGACGGUAUCUGAGGAAUAAGCAUCGGCUAACUCUGUGUCCAG